This 671-nucleotide ribosomal RNA is filed under the name uncultured fungus. RNAcentral's name for it is "eukaryotic LSU rRNA". The stretch from base 211 to 364 matches the Rfam family "5.8S ribosomal RNA". The record is from RNAcentral. Lineage: Eukaryota; Fungi.
GGAAGUAAAAGUCGUAACAAGGUCUCCGUAGGUGAACCUGCGGAGGGAUCAUUACAAGUGACCCCGGUCUAACCACCGGGAUGUUCAUAACCCUUUGUUGUCCGACUCUGUUGCCUCCGGGGCGACCCUGCCUUCGGGCGGGGGCUCCGGGUGGACACUUCAAACUCUUGCGUAACUUUGCAGUCUGAGUAAACUUAAUUAAUAAAUUAAAACUUUUAACAACGGAUCUCUUGGUUCUGGCAUCGAUGAAGAACGCAGCGAAAUGCGAUAAGUAAUGUGAAUUGCAGAAUUCAGUGAAUCAUCGAAUCUUUGAACGCACAUUGCGCCCCCUGGUAUUCCGGGGGGCAUGCCUGUUCGAGCGUCAUUUCACCACUCAAGCCUCGCUUGGUAUUGGGCAACGCGGUCCGCCGCGUGCCUCAAAUCGACCGGCUGGGUCUUCUGUCCCCUAAGCGUUGUGGAAACUAUUCGCUAAAGGGUGCUCGGGAGGCUACGCCGUAAAACAAACCCAUUUCUAAGGUUGACCUCGGAUCAGGUAGGGAUACCCGCUGAACUUAAGCAUAUCAAUAAGCCGGAGGAAAAUCACAUCUCCAAAAGAAACGGGCAAAAGAUGAAUGUUUUUUAAGCAGUCGAGUUAGCUACGAGAUAUGAUUAUUUGUAUUUAUAUGCAGGUG